CAGCCGCCGCGGUAAUACGGAGGGUGCAAGCGUUAAUCGGAAUUACUGGGCGUAAAGCGUGCGCAGGCGGUUUGUUAAGACAGAUGUGAAAUCCCCGGGCUCAACCUGGGAACUGCAUUUGUGACUGGCAAGCUAGAGUCUGGCAGAGGGGGGUGGAAUUCCGCGUGUAGCAGUGAAAUGCGUAGAUAUGCGGAGGAACACCGAUGGCGAAGGCAGCCCCCUGGGCCAACACUGACGCUCAUGCACGAAAGCGUGGGGAGCAAACAGGAUUAGAUACCCGCGUAGUCCCUGUCUCUUAUAC
RNAcentral lists this ribosomal RNA (301 nucleotides) under uncultured bacterium. RNAcentral describes it as "partial 16S ribosomal RNA". It matches the Rfam family "Bacterial small subunit ribosomal RNA", at positions 509 to 807 of the family's 1533-position model. The record is from RNAcentral.